UACAGAGGGUGCGAGCGUUAAUCGGAAUUACUGGGCGUAAAGCGUGCGUAGACGGUCAUGUAAGUCGGGUGUGAAAGCCCCGGGCUCAACCUGGGAAUUGCAUUCGAGACUGCAAGGCUAGGGUGCGGAAGAGGGAAGCGGAAUUUCCGGUGUAGCGGUGAAAUGCGUAGAUAUCGGAAGGAACAUCAGUGGCGAAAGCGGCUUCCUGGUCCAGCACCGACGUUCAGGCACGAAAGCGUGGGGAGCAAACAGG
RNAcentral lists this ribosomal RNA (253 nucleotides) under uncultured bacterium. RNAcentral's name for it is "partial 16S ribosomal RNA". It matches the Rfam family "Bacterial small subunit ribosomal RNA", at positions 524 to 776 of the family's 1533-position model. The record is from RNAcentral.